This 46-nucleotide ribosomal RNA is filed under the name Mutarda arvensis. Its description in RNAcentral is "partial 26S ribosomal RNA". The record is from RNAcentral. Lineage: Eukaryota; Viridiplantae; Streptophyta; Magnoliopsida; Brassicales; Brassicaceae.
CGCGACCCCAGGUCAGGCGGGAUCACCCGCUGAGUUUAAGCAUAUC